This 957-nucleotide long non-coding RNA is filed under the name Fukomys damarensis (Damara mole-rat). RNAcentral describes it as "lncRNA (ENSFDAG00000024400.1)". The record is from RNAcentral. Lineage: Eukaryota; Metazoa; Chordata; Mammalia; Rodentia; Bathyergidae.
GUAAACUUUCAAAACCUAGACUUGCCACUUAUGAGCUAGCAAGAGUUUGAGUUGUACAACCUCUCUGAGCAUCAGUUUUUGUGCCUGUGAAAUGGAAUAAUACCUACCUUAUGAAUCUAGUCGCAUGCUGGAUACAGAGAGAGCCUUUAAUACUAGGAUGCUGAAAAACACACAAACUGUAUAGUUCCAAUAUGCCAUCCAAGUACCCUACCACCAAAGUGCUGAAAACUUGAUUUGUAUGAGGAUCUUGCUAUAGUUUUGUUCAAGUAUUUGUAUAAGUAUAUUCUCUGGAUUUAAGGAAACAUACACAAAUGACAAACAUAUCAUCAGCUUUUUUCAGUUGCAGCAGAAGCCACUGUAUGAGCCACUGACAGAGGGCAUCACAAGAAUGAAGUGAGUCCACUUGCAGAGCUCAUGGGACCUGGAGGGGAGGCAGCUCCAGUGCCCCAUUGCUAUGAGAGAAUUGAGCAUCAUGAAAUGGAUCACACUGAUAGCAGGACAGAGCUGUUUCUUGCUGGCUGUUUCUGUACUCCUCAAUCCCCUAUCUCAACUGCCAAGAAGCAUACACCUCUGAGACCACAACUAGAAGGGAGGCAAGAUGUUUUCAGAGAAGCUGUUUUAGCCUGUGUGGUAACCAUUUUAGACACUUCAUUUCACAGUAGGAAACAAGACUGGAAGAAAGGUGGGGGACACGUGUGGAAGGAAACGAGGAAUGGACUGAAAACAGAAGACUAUCACACUUCUUGUCAUCGUGGCUUCCCAGCAACCUACCAUGUUCUCACUCCAGCAAUGGCAGCUGAGGGAAGAUGCAUUCCGGGAGCAAGACUGCUCUGCCCAACCACUCCUCGGUCUCACCUUUCUAAUCUGUCAGAUCCAAACAAUAUCAUGUGCCUCAUAAAGACCCCACCCCACCUUCCUUUUUUACAAAAUCAAAUACUGACUCCUCGUUGUUUCUAA